GAUGAACGCUGGCGGCGUGCCUAAUACAUGCAAGUCGAGCGAACAGAUGAGGAGCUUGCUCCUCUGACGUUAGCGGCGGACGGGUGAGUAACACGUGGAUAACCUACCUAUAAGACUGGGAUAACUUCGGGAAACCGGAGCUAAUACCGGAUAAUAUAUUGAACCGCAUGGUUCAAUAGUGAAAGACGGUUUUGCUGUCACUUAUAGAUGGAUCCGCGCCGCAUUAGCUAGUUGGUAAGGUAACGGCUUACCAAGGCAACGAUGCGUAGCCGACCUGAGAGGGUGAUCGACCACACUGGAACUGAGACACGGUCCAGACUCCUACGGGAGGCAGCAGUAGGGAAUCUUCCGCAAAGGGCGAAAGCCUGACGGAGCAACGCCGCGUGAGUGAUGAAGGUCUUCGGAUCGUAAAACUCUGUUAUUAGGGAAGAACAAAUGUGUAAGUAACUAUGCACGUCUUGACGGUACCUAAUCAGAAAGCCACGGCUAACUACGUG
Molecule: ribosomal RNA, 497 nt
Filed under: uncultured bacterium
Lineage: Bacteria
Description: partial 16S ribosomal RNA
Rfam family: Bacterial small subunit ribosomal RNA
Source: RNAcentral